AAGACCUAGUGGCGAACGGGUGAGUAACACGUGAGAAACCUGCCUUGGAGUGGGGAAUAACUCGAGGAAACUCGAGCUAAUACCGCAUACCUUCUCUUGACCGCAUGGUCAGUUGAAGAAAGAAUUUCGCUCCAAGAGGGUCUCGCGGCCUAUCAGUUUGUUGGUGGGGUAACGGCCUACCAAGACUACGACGGGUAGCUGGUUUGAGAGAACGAUCAGCCACACUGGAACUGAGACACGGUCCAGACUCC
Molecule: ribosomal RNA, 251 nt
Filed under: uncultured bacterium
Lineage: Bacteria
Description: partial 16S ribosomal RNA
Rfam family: Bacterial small subunit ribosomal RNA
Source: RNAcentral